CAGCCGCCACGGGAAAACGAAGGGGGCUAGCGUUGCUCGGAAUGACUGGGCGUAAAGGGCGCGUAGGCGGCGAUCAAAGUCAGGCGUGAAAUUCCUGGGCUCAACCUGGGGGCUGCGCUUGAUACUUGGUUGCUUGAGUGGGGAAGAGGGUCGUGGAAUUCCCAGUGUAGAGGUGAAAUUCGUAGAUAUUGGGAAGAACACCGGUGGCGAAGGCGGCGACCUGGUCCUUGACUGACGCUGAGGCGCGAAAGCGUGGGGAGCAAACAGGAUUAGAUACCCGCGUAGUCCCUGUCUCUUAUAC
Molecule: ribosomal RNA, 301 nt
Filed under: uncultured bacterium
Lineage: Bacteria
Description: partial 16S ribosomal RNA
Rfam family: Bacterial small subunit ribosomal RNA
Source: RNAcentral